GUCCAUGCCGUAACGAUGUCUACUAGCCGUUGGGCCUUUGAGGCUUUAGUGGCGCAGCUAACGCGAUAAGUAGACCGCCUGGGAGUACGGUCGCAAGAUUAAACUCAAAGGAAUAGACGGGACCCGCACAAGCGGUGGAGCAUGUGGUUAAUUCGACGAUACACGAAGAACCUUACCUGGACUUGACAUAGUAAGAACUUUCUAGAGAUAGAUUGGUGUCUGCUUGCAGAAACUUAUAUACAGGUGCUGCACGGCUGUCGU
This 261-nucleotide ribosomal RNA is filed under the name uncultured bacterium. Its description in RNAcentral is "partial 16S ribosomal RNA". It matches the Rfam family "Bacterial small subunit ribosomal RNA", at positions 793 to 1055 of the family's 1533-position model. The record is from RNAcentral.